UACGGGGGGGUAAGCGUUGUUCGGAAUUACUGGGCGUAAAGGGCUCGUAGGCGGCCAACUAAGUCAGACGUGAAAUCCCUCAGCUUGACUGGGGAACUGCGUCUGAUACUGGAUGGCUUGGAUUCGGGAGAGGAAUGCGGAAUUCCAGGUGUAGCGGUGAAAUGCGUAGAUAUCUGGAGGAACACCGGUGGCGAAGGCGGCAUUCUGGACCGACAUUGACGCUGAGGAGCGAAAGCCAGGGGAGCAAACGGG
RNAcentral lists this ribosomal RNA (252 nucleotides) under uncultured bacterium. RNAcentral's name for it is "partial 16S ribosomal RNA". It matches the Rfam family "Bacterial small subunit ribosomal RNA", at positions 524 to 776 of the family's 1533-position model. The record is from RNAcentral.